This 77-nucleotide transfer RNA is filed under the name Pseudogemmobacter hezensis. RNAcentral describes it as "tRNA-Pro". It matches the Rfam family "tRNA". From Rfam's summary of the family: Transfer RNA (tRNA) molecules are approximately 80 nucleotides in length. Their secondary structure includes four short double-helical elements and three loops (D, anti-codon, and T loops). Further hydrogen bonds mediate the characteristic L-shaped molecular structure. tRNAs have two regions of fundamental functional importance: the anti-codon, which is responsible for specific mRNA codon recognition, and the 3' end, to which the tRNAs corresponding amino acid is attached (by aminoacyl-tRNA synthetases). tRNAs cope with the degeneracy of the genetic code in two manners: having more than one tRNA (with a specific anti-codon) for a particular amino acid; and 'wobble' base-pairing, i.e. permitting non-standard base-pairing at the 3rd anti-codon position. RNAcentral also lists the same sequence under 3 other names. Lineage: Bacteria; Pseudomonadati; Pseudomonadota; Alphaproteobacteria; Rhodobacterales; Paracoccaceae. The record is from RNAcentral.
CGGGGCGUAGCGCAGUCUGGUAGCGCGACGGUUUUGGGUACCGUAGGUCGGGAGUUCGAAUCUCUCCGCCCCGACCA